Molecule: ribosomal RNA, 360 nt
Filed under: uncultured bacterium
Lineage: Bacteria
Description: bacterial SSU rRNA
Rfam family: Bacterial small subunit ribosomal RNA
Source: RNAcentral
GAUGAACGCUGGCGGUCUGCUUAACACAUGCAAGUCGAACGGAAUGCUUUCGGGCAUUUAGUGGCGGACGGGUGAGUAACGCGUGAGAAUCUGCCCUUUGGAGUGGGACAACGACUGGAAACGGUCGCUAACACCGCAUGAGCCGAGAGGUAAAAGUAUUUAUAGCCAAGGGAUGAGCUCGCGUCGGAUUAGCUAGUUGGUAGUGUAAUGGACUACCAAGGCGACGAUCCGUAGCUGGUCUGAGAGGAUGACCAGCCACACUGGGACUGAGACACGGCCCAGACUCCUACGGGAGGCAGCAGUGGGGAAUUUUCCGCAAUGGGGGCAACCCUGACGGAGCAAGACCGCGUGGGGGAGGAA